GGGGUUGUGGCUCAGUGGCAGAGCGCUUGCCUAGCAUGCGUGAGGCCCUGAGUUCGAUCCCCGGCACCA
Molecule: transfer RNA, 69 nt
Filed under: Ictidomys tridecemlineatus (thirteen-lined ground squirrel)
Lineage: Eukaryota; Metazoa; Chordata; Mammalia; Rodentia; Sciuridae
Also listed under: 1 other name
Description: Spermophilus tridecemlineatus (thirteen-lined ground squirrel) tRNA
Rfam family: tRNA
About the family: Transfer RNA (tRNA) molecules are approximately 80 nucleotides in length. Their secondary structure includes four short double-helical elements and three loops (D, anti-codon, and T loops).
Source: Rfam by way of RNAcentral